Molecule: transfer RNA, 73 nt
Filed under: Apaloderma vittatum (bar-tailed trogon)
Lineage: Eukaryota; Metazoa; Chordata; Aves; Trogoniformes; Trogonidae
Rfam family: tRNA
About the family: Transfer RNA (tRNA) molecules are approximately 80 nucleotides in length. Their secondary structure includes four short double-helical elements and three loops (D, anti-codon, and T loops).
Source: Rfam by way of RNAcentral
GGCCAGUUAGCUCAGUCAGUUAGAGCACGGUGCUGAUAAAACCAAGGUCGCGGGUUCAAUCCCCCCUUGGUCC